Molecule: transfer RNA, 63 nt
Filed under: Neoseiulus californicus
Lineage: Eukaryota; Metazoa; Arthropoda; Arachnida; Mesostigmata; Phytoseiidae
Description: tRNA-Gln
Source: RNAcentral
AAAUAUUUAAUGUAUAAUAGAACAUAUUAGGGUUUGAUCCUAAAAAAAUAAAAUUAAUAUUUU